GAUGAAGAACGUAGCGAAAUGCGAUAAGUAAUGUGAAUUGCAGAUUUCAGUGAAUCAUCGAAUCUUUGAACGCACAUUGCGCCCGCCAGUAUUCUGGCGGGCAUGCCUGUUCGAGCGUCAUUUCAACCAUCAAGCCCCCGGGCUUGUGUUGGGGACCUGCGGCUGCCGCAGGCCCUGAAAACCAGUGGCGGGCUCGCUAGUCACUCCGAGCGUAGUAGUUACAUCUCGCUCAGGGCGUGCUGCGGGUUCCGGCCGUUAAAAGCCUUUUACCCCAAGGUUGACCUCGGAUCAGGUAGGAAGACCCGCUGAACUUAAGCAUAUCAAUAAGCGGAGGA
RNAcentral lists this unclassified non-coding RNA (335 nucleotides) under soil metagenome. RNAcentral's name for it is "partial contains 5.8S ribosomal RNA, internal transcribed spacer 2, and large subunit ribosomal RNA". The stretch from base 1 to 120 matches the Rfam family "5.8S ribosomal RNA", at positions 35 to 154 of the family's 154-position model. The record is from RNAcentral.